Molecule: ribosomal RNA, 2025 nt
Filed under: Triticum aestivum (bread wheat)
Lineage: Eukaryota; Viridiplantae; Streptophyta; Magnoliopsida; Poales; Poaceae
Description: partial small subunit ribosomal RNA
Source: RNAcentral
AUGGACCAUUCCAUCCCUUUUUCCCGUGCAUAUGCAUCGGACUCGGAUGACGAUGGUCCCGAUGAACAAGUUGAUGCGGAGGGGUUCACGGUGAAGGAGGCCGAAGCUUUCGAGGAGGUAUUUGGUCGGGAUCAUCGGACUACAUUGUUCAAGGAUGUUAGUCUCGCGGAUGAAGCCGUGGUAGAUGGUGGCCAAUGUGUAGCUCUUGGGGUUAGGCCAAGCUCUCACCGUGAUUUGGUAGACGACAAGAACCGGAUUGCUAAAGGUUCUAAGUUCGACAGCUUGUUGGAUUUGAAGAUGUGGCUCGACAACUACUCGGUUACGCAUUAUCGUCCACACAAGGUGGUGCACUCGGACGUCAAUGUGCGCUACACGGUUGCAUGUGCAUGUGAAGAUGAAAAGGAGGUCCAACUUGGACUUACAAGAGGCCGUGGUGGUGGUAGAGGUCGUGGAAAGGAGGUCCAACAAGGAGUGGCAAGACGCCGUGGCGGUUGUCCGUGGAUUGUGCGUGCAAGACCAUGGAAAGGAGGUCCUACUUGGCAUGUAGUGAGUUGUGUGCCAACUCACAUGUGCCAAGGCAAAAGGGUGGAUGGCAAGAUUGUGUCCCAAGACCACAAACAACUCACGUCCGAGUUCAUCGCUUACAGGCUCUCAAACUCAAUAUCCACACUUCCAACAAUGAGCGUCCAACAUGUCAUUGACCUUGUGAAAGCCAUCUUUCAUUACCAGGUGAAAUACGGCAAGGCAUGGAAGGCGAAGCAAGCCGCAUUUAAGAUGUUGUAUGGUACAUGGGAGGAAGCAUACAACCGAAUCCCUAGGUUGUUGUUAGCCAUGGCCGCGACAAACCCGGGCAUGGUUCAUGUGGUCGAGCCUCAUGGGCACCAAACAACGGUUCAUGAAGGAAGGAAAGUCAGAGUAUUUGGCCGUGCUUUUUGGGCGUUCGAGCAAUGUGUGAGGGCUUUCGAACAUUGUAGGCCGGUCAUUGCAAUUGAUGGCACGUUCUUGACCGGACAAUACAAGGGCACCUUGUUGGUUGCGAUAGCAAGUGAUGCCAAUAACUGGGUGUUGCCAUUGGCAUUUGCUUUGGUUGAGGUGGAAAACAAUGACAACUGGGAGUGGUUUCUGCAUCUUUUGAGGACGAAGGUGUUACCCGCUCAAAGGGAAAUUUGUGUCAUAUCGGAUCGGAAUCAAGGAAUUCUUAACGCCGUGGAGAUUGACAUUCCCGGGCAUGCUCCGUUGCACCAUCGAUGGUGCAUGAGGCACUUUUGUUCGAACUUCUAUAGGGCAUGUGGCCUUAAGGAGUUGGCCGAUGAUCUUCAAGAUUGUUGUCUCGCUUUCUCCGAUAAGCGCUUCGCCACUUUGUACAACAAAUUGCUCGCACACAAAAAACUUGAUCCCGGGGGUCAAGAGUUUCUCAAUAGGCACAUUCAAUACCGGAACAAGUGGGCACGUGCUUUUGAUGAAGAUGGCCGGAGAUACGGUCAAAUGACAAGCAAUAUGGCCGAAUGCUUCAAUAGGGUGCUCAAAGGUGCACGUGGAUUACCCGUGACGGCAAUAGUUCAAUACACAUUUGACAAGAUGAAUGCGUACUUUGUAAAGUACUCGAUGGAAACCGAUGCACAAAUAGCGGGUGAGAACCCACGGAAGUACAAGUACAAGUUCCCACCCAAAGUUGAUGAAUGGUUGCUAUUUCAAUCACGGAAGGCGGACUCAGAAGAAGCUAUAUUAUAUGACAAUGAGGAGUGGAAGUACGAAGUGAAAGAGCCAGGAGGAACCACAAACGAUGGCCGGCAACAUGGAGGUCGGGCUUUCAAGGUGUCGUUAACACAAUGUGAUUGCACUUGCGGGAGGCCAUUGUUGCUUCAUCUCCCAUGCUCACAUUUGUAUACCGCCGGCCGCGUUAGGAAUGUGGACAUCAAUCACCCACGCAUGGCCCAAUCCUUGAUCUUUCGCUGCUUUUUCCUAUCCAACCUGCAAGUUAGAAACAAGAUAUUAGCAUCAUCGAAACCGUCGAGAAGCUGCUAA